GAAAUGCGAUACGUAAUGUGAAUUGCAGAAUUCAGUGAAUCAUCGAAUCUUUGAACGCACCUUGCACUCUUUGGUAUUCCGAAGAGUAUGUCUGUUUGAGUGUCAUGAAACUCUCAACCCCCUUGUUUGGUAAUGAAGCAGGCGUGGGCUUGGAUUAUGGCUGUCUGCUGGACUCUUUAAUUAGAGACCGGCUCGGCUGAAAUACACGAGUAACCCAGUUUGAAUAUUAACGGCUUGACUCGGCGUAAUAGCUUUAUUUCGCUGAGGACGUUUCAUAUCAAGAUAGUGGUGCUUCUAAUGCGUCGUAGCGUCAGCUGCACACCUUUAAGCUUUAGACCUCAAAUCAGUCAGGACUACCCGCUGAACUUAAGC
Molecule: unclassified non-coding RNA, 372 nt
Filed under: plant metagenome
Description: partial contains 5.8S ribosomal RNA, internal transcribed spacer 2, and large subunit ribosomal RNA
Rfam family: 5.8S ribosomal RNA (bases 1-105)
Source: RNAcentral